Molecule: long non-coding RNA, 394 nt
Organism: Puntigrus tetrazona (Sumatra barb)
Lineage: Eukaryota; Metazoa; Chordata; Actinopteri; Cypriniformes; Cyprinidae
Exons: 3
Source: RefSeq, a predicted model, not a curated record
GAGGAGGGAGCAUGUGAUGAAGAUGAAGAUGGACACAGAGAUGGAGCAGGUCUUUGAGAUGAAGGUCAAAGAAAAUGGGGAAAAACUGGAGGACUGGAGCUUUGUAUUCGGUUUCUAGUUGAUGCAUCAAAGCAUUCUUUGGUACCCAUCAUUUCGGUUAAACCUAUAUGGCAGAUGCACAGAGGCAAACUACACAAUUAAGCUAAUCAAUAAAAUCGACUUAUCGUCCCGCCCUAGAAUCAGGAGACACAGAGAUUGAGCGCACACCUCAGUAGCACAGAGACCGGAGAGAACUUGGAGACACAGAACACUAUGGAGGACCACAGGCGCUAGGUCAAACGAGUCAGAAAGUCCAUUUCAUAGAUACAAGACCAAACGAUGAUGGUGUGUUUGC